UAGGUGGCGCCGUAAAAUACAGCUUUGCUGCUCCAUUUCUCUUUUGCUCCCUUUAGGUGAAUAACGGGUAUCUGAUAGUCGAGGCAAUCGACUAUAACGUUCUUCCUUGGAUGGAUGUGUAUAAUACUUUACUGGUUCGGACGGUAAUACGCAUUUAGACUCCAAGGAUUGCAUACGUACACGUUGUCGAUGGGAUUUCAUAAAAUACAUUAUACAACUUUAAUUAAAACAACAUCCUUUUAUUAAAUUAAAAAUGCUAGAAAUUACUCGUGACCAAUUAUCCUACUUCAAAAUGUGACCCGUAGUGCUUAACGUCUUUCUGACACCAAAAAGGAUCAAAAUAAUAUUUUCGAAAAUAUCAA
This is a long non-coding RNA of Drosophila biarmipes, 362 nucleotides long. RefSeq lists it as uncharacterized. The transcript is spliced from 2 exons. NCBI's taxonomy places the organism in Eukaryota, Metazoa, Arthropoda, Insecta, Diptera, Drosophilidae. The record is from RefSeq and is a predicted model, not a curated record.